Molecule: long non-coding RNA, 295 nt
Organism: Micropterus salmoides (largemouth bass)
Lineage: Eukaryota; Metazoa; Chordata; Actinopteri; Centrarchiformes; Centrarchidae
Exons: 3
Source: RefSeq, a predicted model, not a curated record
UACACGUUCUUGUAUUAAUUACCUGCGUGCCGCGCGUGGCCUGGAGACUGAAGCGCGUGUGAUUGAGCGGAAGGUAGAUUUUUCGGUUGGUUGAUUUUCAAAAGGAGCUCCUUUUGACGCUGGGCUUUGAUGAAAAUGAAGAGUGGCUUCGAAAGGGAAGAGGUGGUGGACAUGGCACAUAGAGUCAAAGACACCAUUUUCAAUAGGCUCACUCCACCCAAAUUCCAGCACUUGAAACCUCUUUCUGUAUAUUCAAGGAUGAUCACUUGUGACCCAAAGGCCAGUGUGCAUUGCC